Molecule: ribosomal RNA, 254 nt
Filed under: uncultured bacterium
Lineage: Bacteria
Description: partial 16S ribosomal RNA
Rfam family: Bacterial small subunit ribosomal RNA
Source: RNAcentral
UACGGGGGGAGCAAGCGUUGUUCGGAUUUACUGGGCGUAAAGGGCGCGUAGGCGGUCAGCACAAGUCAGUUGUGAAAUCUCCGGGCUUAACUCGGAAAGGUCAACUGAUACUGUGCGACUAGAGUGCAGAAGGGGCAACUGGAAUUCUCGGUGUAGCGGUGAAAUGCGUAGAUAUCAGGAGGAACACCGGUGGCGAAGGCGGGUCUCUGGGCAACAACUGACGCUGAGGAGCGAAAGCGUGGGGAGCGAACAGG